Molecule: unclassified non-coding RNA, 2548 nt
Filed under: Drosophila ananassae
Lineage: Eukaryota; Metazoa; Arthropoda; Insecta; Diptera; Drosophilidae
Description: GF26551
Source: RNAcentral
GCCCUGUUUGAAGUGGAUUAAUCAGGGCAUUUAGCGAUUGACGAGCAAAGGCGACUGGCGGCGCCCCUUGUCUCGAUUCGGCCGGUGUCACGUAUCAGUUGGAAAACAUUUUCCGCGCGGCAUGCUCUCAGCUCGAACAAACGAAUGCAAAUAGUCGCCACAAAGUUGCAAUGACAAUCGCUAAAUAAAUUAAAUAAAAUUCCCGAUAUUUUAAAAGUCUUCUCGAAGCUUCUGACAAAUUGAAUGACGGUUAAGUUAAAAAAAAAAAGUAGCAGUGAUGGAUAGGCUUAAAAAUAAGUAUCUAUAUAAAUUUCAUCUCAAUUCCAAAUUCAAGCACAACAAAUCGAAAUAAUUGCACAAAAAAAGAACCUUACCCCUUGGCGUCUUAUGGUAUUGCGAUUUUAAUAACAUUUUCAAAAAUAUAUUGCCCCCAACUGUCUGGUGGUGAGUUGAGGAAAAAGAUACCCCAAAACUCUGUUUAUCCAGAAACAACAUCAUCAAACACAACCUAAAUCGGUGGACUUAUCAACGCUCCACAGAGCAGCCGCAAAAACAAUAAACCAUUUGGCAAUUGUCUUUCUAACAUCCUGAAAACCAUCUCAGGACCUCAUUCGCAUCCUGUUUCUGUUUGUGUUCCUGGUCGAACUCACGUCGUUUGAUGGGCAUAAAGUGAAAUAAUAAAACAUUUUAACUCGACAUUUGAUGGCUGCUUUUAUUUUUAUUUGUGCGGCAUAGCGACCGGCAAAUAAAAACAGAACCCAAAAACUGAAACCGAAACCGAACUCCGGAUUCACCUUGGAGCGAUUUAAUUUUUAUGAUCCUGCCACAAAGGAGACAGAAAUCGUAAACGGGAAGAUGGAUGCCACCGGGAUGAAGACAAACUCCUUGUAACGAGGCGAAAUUUAUGCAAUUAGAAAUUAAUAUUAUACAAUUUGAUCCAUGGCCUUAUGGCCGGGACACGCGCAUCGAGUGUCAUAAAUGUUAGUAACUGCAUGUUUAUGCCACAUUUUGAAUGGGGGCGUGACAUGACAGCCUUCCAAGGAAUUCUCUCCGCCAUCCUGCAACACAAUUUUAAUGCGCAGUACAGCCAGAAAUUAAUAUUGUCACCGUGAAUGGGAUUGGAUCUGCAUUGUUUGGCAACAAAUUCGCUUUGCAUCCUCUUCCCAUUGGCGAUAACUUUUAUUAAUCAUUUAAUUCGGCUGUAAAAAGUUGUGGGUGUAUGGGUACAGUUCUGCCGGAUGCCGAUAAGCCUUAAACACAACGUGGGAAUCUGCCAAGUGUCCGCCAAUGUCCAGGACUAAGAAUACCCUGAGGGAUUACCGCCGCUGAAGUAUCCAAAGAUACAAAGUCAUUACGACGCAGCGCAUUCAUAAUUAAAAAUGUUUACACAAAUCAACGGCUUCAGGGUCCUGUAGAAUUUCUAUGAAACGCAAUGAGCGUAAUGGAGUUUGAUCCUAAUUAGUCAGCAGAAGGAUAGGACUCCAGAAAGCCCUGCAAUUCAUCCUGUACUUUCUAUUGUAAAAUGAGUAUAUCUUCAGUUAAAAGAUUUUAAAAGACUGUUCUUUUUCUUAACUCCAUUACGCACAAAACUCUUCCACUAAUCAACAGCUGAAUUAGAAAAUCAACCUCCUGAACUUUGCUCAAUUUUUUUAAGGACUCUUACUCGAGGGAACUGCUUCCCCAUUCAAAAAAUAUAACCCCGUGGCUAAUUACUAAUUCAGGCAAAAUGCUCGCUAAAAAAAUACACCAUAAUUCAAUGGAUCCGAGGGGUGGACUUUCCAGCUCAGGAAGCUAUACAGGGGAAAUCCAAUAAAUGGAACCAAAAAUCACUUGGCCACCCAGGACACGUAACGCUGGACAAGGAACAGGAAACGGAAACCAAAAAAGGACGAGGACAGCUGCCGCUACGGAAAGAAGGAGCAGAUUUUCCAGGAAAAGGAAAUCUUUAAAGUCGUGUCGCGAGUAGCGAAAAUCCAGCAUUUUUGCAGAUUAACGAUGGCCCGCUGAGGAAACCGGGAACUCCAACUAAUCGCAACCCUUUGGGCGCGGAAAAGCAAUCUCAGUUUUUAGCCAAAAGGGCGAAACUAUCAAAACUAUUCGGAGUGACGAUGGCAGCAGUGAAAGCGGCGCACCCAGGACACAAAUGGGACAUACAGGAUGCCCGGGAGACGCUCUGCCAAUUAACAGUUACAUGUGUUUGAAGGAAAUAAUUGGGUUGCGUGACAACGAGGACAACGGCGACAUGGCGAAAGGGGCGAGGUUCGGGCGGGAUAAAUAGUAAAUAAAUAGAGCUGCUCUAUUAAAAGCAAACAAACCCACACGCGGAUAAACUAUGCAAUUAUAGUGAUUGCUGAUAGUGCGUCAUCGUCAUCAUUGGGGAAAGGCACACGGUACUAUCGUCCUUGUUCUCGUUCUUCUUUCCAGUCCCAUCAUAAUUAUCGUCAUCAUCAAAGUCUGCCGCAGGACAAAGGCGUUGCUAAAGUUAUUAACGCGUCAUGCGGCGUCAAUCAACUUGGGGCUUCUCCAGGACCAAUUUGCAUGUAACUAC